CGAUUCUGGCUCAGGAUGAACGCUGGCGGCGUGCAUAACACAUUCAAGUCGAACGGGCAGUAUUCCUUCGGGGGUGCUGCUAGUGGCGGACGGGUGAGUAACGCGUGAGCAACCUGCCUCUGUGAGUGGAAUAACACAGGGAAACUUGUGCUAAUACCGCAUGACGAAGCGAAGCCGCAUGACUUUGCUUCCAAAGAUUUAUCGCACAGAGAUGGGCUCGCGUCCGAUUAGGCAGUUGGUGAGGUAACGGCUCACCAAACCGACGAUCGGUAGCCGGACUGAGAGGUUGAACGGCCACAUUGGAACUGAGAUACGGUCCAGACUCCUACGGGAGGCAGCAGUGGGGAAUAUUGGGCAAUGGGCGCAAAGCCUGACCCAGCGACGCCGCAUGAGGGAAGAAGGUCUUCGGAUUGUAAACCUCUUUGACAGGGGACGAAGUAAGUGACGGUACCCUGAAAACAAGCCACGGCUAACUACGUGCCAGCCGCUGC
This 491-nucleotide ribosomal RNA is filed under the name uncultured bacterium. RNAcentral describes it as "bacterial SSU rRNA". It matches the Rfam family "Bacterial small subunit ribosomal RNA", at positions 14 to 518 of the family's 1533-position model. The record is from RNAcentral.